RNAcentral lists this long non-coding RNA (1354 nucleotides) under Ananas comosus (pineapple). RNAcentral describes it as "long non-coding RNA (ACOM_LNC043285)". The record is from RNAcentral. Lineage: Eukaryota; Viridiplantae; Streptophyta; Magnoliopsida; Poales; Bromeliaceae.
AUGUAUUGAGAUAUUUUAUUUUUCUUUUGAAUGAAUUUUAUUGGACUGAAUACAAGUUAUUAGAUUAAUGCGAGUUUUUUAUUAAGGGAGAUUUACAGUUUGUCCACAGACUAUUUAAUAAAGUUUAUAAAAACAUAUAUAUAUAUAUAUGUAUAUGAGUACCCGUACUCGAUUUAAACCAGACCUAUAUCCGGUCUUGAAUGAAUAGUAUAUGGAUAGUCAUUAUCCAAACCCGUUCAAAUAGACUCGAUGGGCAUAUUAGUAAUUUAAGUACCCAGACCAGAACCCGACUCGAAAUUAAAUGGGUAGAAUAUAUAUUUUUUUCAAAUCAUUUUUUUUAGGGUACGAAUACAGUAUAUCAACUAUCCAGACCGGACCCGGUCCACGAACACCUUUAAUUACUUUUUAAUAAAAAUUCGUAGGGACCCCCUCAACUAUUGGAUAGUUCGAAAGAGAGAGUCCUCAAACUAUGUAAGCUUUUAUUUUUUGUAUUUGAAUUUUUAUAUUUAGGUAAGUUAAAAAUCUUAUCAAACUUAAUGAUACUGUUAGUUAGUUAUCUAUUAAUUAACUAUAUGAAUUCCCAAUGUUUUUUUGCCACGUGGCAAGUUUUUUUAAACCUCACUAGCCCUUUUUUUGAACUCAUAUUUGUUCUUAGCUCUUCCCCUCCCCUCCUCUUUAUUCAAUGACACGUAACCAAUGUGCUCUUUAAUUUAUAUGUUACUUAUUUUCCUCUUCAAUAUUAGUCAUUUUUUCUCCCUUAAAUCUCUUUUCAACGCCAAACGCCCCCGCCCCCCCCACCUCCAUCAAUCCCCCACCCCCCUCUCUUUUACAUGGCCUCUUAUUUUCCAUGCAAAAAAAAAUAUCAUUUAAUUUUUCACCCAACACUCAUCUAGCUCUCUCUACCUUAUUGUGUUAAUGAAGAUGAUGAGGACGAUGAAGAAGAAGAAGAGCAUGCAAAGAAUGUUGUCUCAUUCGAGAAACAUCGUCCUACAAAAUCGAGCAUAUAUGAAUUCCCAAUGUUUUUUUGCCACGUGGCAAGUUUUUUUAAACCUCACUAGCCCUUUUUUUGAACUCAUAUUUGUUCUUGGCUCUUCCCCUCCCCUCCUCUCUAUUCAAUGAUAUGUAAUCAAUGUGCUCUUUAAUUUAUAUGUUACUUAUUUUUCUCUUCAAUAUUAGUCAUUUUUUCUCCCUCAAAUCUCUUUUCAACUUUAGUAAACUGAACUUUGACAAAUUGCGAAGUUCGAGUGUGGGGAUGGUAAUUGGAACCAUUCCACGUCUUUUAAAGGGUUGUAGAGAGGUUUUUGGCAGGUUAGUGGAGUGAUCAAACAGCUGGAAGCACAAAAGUGCAUUGCGA